RNAcentral lists this ribosomal RNA (376 nucleotides) under uncultured bacterium. RNAcentral describes it as "bacterial SSU rRNA". It matches the Rfam family "Bacterial small subunit ribosomal RNA", at positions 524 to 898 of the family's 1533-position model. The record is from RNAcentral.
UACAGAGGGUGCAAGCGUUAAUCGGAAUUACUGGGCGUAAAGGGUGCGUAGGUGGUUGAAUAAGUUAGGUGUGAAAGUCCUGGGCUUAACCUGGGGACUGCGCCUAAUACUGUUUAGCUAGAGUACUGUAGAGGAAGGUGGAAUUUCCAGUGUAGCGGUGAAAUGCGUAGAUAUUGGAAGGAACAUCUGUGGCGAAGGCGACCUUCUGGACAGAUACUGACACUGAGGCACGAAAGCGUGGGGAGCAAACAGGAUUAGAUACCCUGGUAGUCCACGCCGUAAACGAUGAGAACUGGCUGUUGGGAACCUAAGGGUUCUUAGUAGCGAAGCUAACGCGUUAAGUUCUCCGCCUGGGGAGUACGGCCGCAAGGCUAAA